CGGCACGGGUGAGUAACACGUAUCCAACCUGCCGUCUACUCUUGGACAGCCUUCUGAAAGGAAGAUUAAUACAAGAUGGCAUCAUGAGUCCGCAUGUUCACAUGAUUAAAGGUAUUCCGGUAGACGAUGGGGAUGCGUUCCAUUAGAUAGUAGGCGGAGUAACGGCCCACCUAGUCUUCGAUGGAUAGGGGUUCUGAGAGGAAGGUCCCCCACAUUGGAACUGAGACACGGUCCAA
This 236-nucleotide ribosomal RNA is filed under the name uncultured bacterium. RNAcentral's name for it is "partial 16S ribosomal RNA". It matches the Rfam family "Bacterial small subunit ribosomal RNA", at positions 100 to 334 of the family's 1533-position model. The record is from RNAcentral.